This 458-nucleotide ribosomal RNA is filed under the name uncultured bacterium. RNAcentral's name for it is "partial 16S ribosomal RNA". It matches the Rfam family "Bacterial small subunit ribosomal RNA", at positions 338 to 795 of the family's 1533-position model. The record is from RNAcentral.
CCUACGGGUGGCAGCAGUGAGGAAUAUUGGUCAAUGGGCGAGAGCCUGAACCAGCCAAGUCGCGUGAGGGAGUACUGCCCUAUGGGGUGUAAACCUCUUUUGUCGGGGAGCAAAAGCCGGACGUGUCCGGCUGUGAGAGUACCCGAAGAAAAAGCAUCGGCUAACUCCGUGCCAGCAGCCGCGGUAAUACGGAGGAUGCGAGUGUUAUCCGGUUUUAUGGGGUUAAAAGGGUGCGCAGGGGGAUUUGUAAGUCAGCGGCAAAAUCGUGGGGCUCAACCCCAUCCAGCCGUUGAAACUGGGGAUCUAGAGUGUGCGAGAGGUAUGCGGAAUGCGUGGUGUAGCGGUGAAAUGCAUAGAUAUCACGCAGAACCCCGAUUGCGAAGGCAGCAUACCGGUGCACAACUGACGCUCAGGCACGAAAGCGUGGGUAUCGAACAGGAUUAGAUACCCGAGUAGUC